GACGAACGCUGGCGGCGUGCCUAACACAUGCAAGUCGAGCGGAAAGGCCCUGCUUUUGUGGGGUGCUCGAGUGGCGAACGGGUGAGUAACACGUGUGUAUCCUGCCCUUGACUUUCGGAUAACAUCAGGAAACUGGGGCUAAUAUCGGAUAGGAGCUCCUGCUGCAUGGUGGGGGUUGGAAAGUUUCGGCGGUUGGGGAUGGACUCGCGGCUUAUCAGCUUGUUGGUGGGGUAGUGGCUGACCAAGGCUUUGACGGGUAGCCGGCCUGAGAGGGUGACCGGCCACAUUGGGACUGAGAUAGGGCGCAGACUGCUACGGGAGGCAGCGGGGGGAAAUAUGACACAGUGAGCGGGAGCCUGAUACAGCGGCGCUGCGUGCGGGAUGACGGGCUACGGGGUGAGAACCGCUGUCGCCUGUGACGAAGCGGGAGUGACGGUAAUGGGUAAAGAAGCACCGGCUAACUACGUG
RNAcentral lists this ribosomal RNA (468 nucleotides) under uncultured bacterium. RNAcentral describes it as "partial 16S ribosomal RNA". It matches the Rfam family "Bacterial small subunit ribosomal RNA", at positions 28 to 507 of the family's 1533-position model. The record is from RNAcentral.